RNAcentral lists this non-coding RNA (124 nucleotides) under uncultured Tubulinea. The record is from RNAcentral. Lineage: Eukaryota; Tubulinea.
ACAGCCUCCAAAGAUAGUCAAAAAAAAGACAAAAAAAAAAGAAAAUGGUAAGAAAAGUUUGCUGGUCUGAUAAUUUUUUGGUUUUAAUACUUUUUUUGUUGCCAACAGUUUUUUACAAAUAUUU